Molecule: ribosomal RNA, 904 nt
Filed under: uncultured archaeon
Lineage: Archaea
Description: bacterial SSU rRNA
Rfam family: Archaeal small subunit ribosomal RNA
Source: RNAcentral
CCUGCCGGAGGCUACCGCUAUUGGAGUUCGAUUAAGCCAUGCGAGUCGCGAGUCUUAGGGACUCGGCGUACCGCUCAGUAACACGUGGGUAACCUGCCCUAUGCUGGGAGAUAACCUCGGGAAACUGAGAAUAAUACCCCAUAGUUCACUACGCCUGGAACGGUGAGUGGAUGAAAGCUCCGGCGGCAUAGGAUGGGCCUGCGGCGUAUCAGGUUGUAGGGGGUGUAACGUACCCUCUAGCCCUCUACGCGUACGGGUGUUGGGAGACAUAGCCCGGAGAUGGAUUCUGAGACACGAAUCCAGACCCUACGGGGUGCAGCAGGCGCGAAAACUUGACAAUGCGAGAAAUCGUGAUCAGGGAACUCCAAGUGGCUGGGGUAAGACCCAGUCUUUUCUUGACUCUUCAAAGGUCUUGGAAUAAGGGGUGGGUAAGGACGGUGCCAGCCGCCGCGGUAAUACCGGCGCCUCAAGUGGUAGUCGCUUUUAUUGGGCCUAAAACGUCCGUAGCCGGUCUGAUACAUUCGUGGGUAAAUCAACUAGCUCAACUAGUUGAAUUCUGCGAGGACGGUCAGACUUGGGACCGGGAGAGGUGUGGGGUACGCUCAGGGUAGGGGUAAAAUCCUGUCAUCCUAAGCGGACCACCUGUUGCGAAGGCGCCACACUAGAACGGAUCCGACGGUCAGGGACGAAGCCUAGGGGCACGAACCGGAUUAGAUACCCGGGUAGUCCUAGGUGUAAACGCUGUGGACUUGAUGUUGGGGGCGCUCCGAGCGCUUCCAGUGUCGAAGCGAAGGUGAUAAGUCCACUGCCUGGGAAGUACGGUCGCAAGGCUGAAACUUAAAGGAAUUGGCGGGGGAGCACCGCAACCUGAGGAUUGUGCGGUUUAAUUGGAGUCAACGCCGGG